GUUUAUGGCCGCACCAACUUGUGUGGCUAGUCUUCUCUUCUCUUAGAAACUAAGCAGGUUAGGGCAUGUUUAAUAGGUGGAUGGAAGACUGCCUGAGAAUACCAUCUGCUGUAAGCC
RNAcentral lists this ribosomal RNA (117 nucleotides) under Electrophorus electricus (electric eel). Lineage: Eukaryota; Metazoa; Chordata; Actinopteri; Gymnotiformes; Gymnotidae. The record is from RNAcentral.